This 334-nucleotide ribosomal RNA is filed under the name uncultured bacterium. RNAcentral's name for it is "bacterial SSU rRNA". It matches the Rfam family "Bacterial small subunit ribosomal RNA", at positions 32 to 352 of the family's 1533-position model. The record is from RNAcentral.
AAUCAACGCUGGCGGCGUGCCUCAGACAUGCAAGUACGAACGAAUUAAAGACUCUCUUCGGAGAGUGCAUAGAGUGGCGCACGGGUGAGUAACACGUAAGUAAUCUACCUUCGAGUGGGGAAGUAACGUCCGGAACGGACGCUAAUACCGCAUAAUGCAGCGGCAUCGCAAGAUGACAGUUGUUAAAGGAGCAAUUCGCUUGAAGAGGAGCUUGCGGCAGAUUAGCUAGUUGGUAAGGUAAUGGCUUACCAAGGCUACGAUCUGUAACCGGUCUAAGAGGACGGUCGGUCACACUGACACUGAAUAACGGGUCAGACUCCUACGGGGAGGCAGC